RNAcentral lists this microRNA precursor (232 nucleotides) under Arabidopsis lyrata subsp. lyrata. The record is from RNAcentral. Lineage: Eukaryota; Viridiplantae; Streptophyta; Magnoliopsida; Brassicales; Brassicaceae.
AAAGUAGUGUGCAGCCAAGGAUGACUUGCCGAUUUAAAUGAUCUUUCUUUAUACUCUAUUAAGACAUUUUAAGUUUCAAAUUUCUUUGGUUCUUCAAGGAUUAAGGAAGAAAGUAGGCUAUAUAUGUAGAUAUAUAUAUUAUGCUGUAUUAAAUAUAUGUACAAGAUAAGACCAAAAAAGAAAAAGUAACAAUCAUGAUCGGCAAGUUGUCCUUGGCUACACGUUACUUUGU